This 628-nucleotide ribosomal RNA is filed under the name Fusicolla acetilerea. RNAcentral's name for it is "partial large subunit ribosomal RNA". It matches the Rfam family "Eukaryotic large subunit ribosomal RNA", at positions 61 to 1444 of the family's 3401-position model. The record is from RNAcentral. Lineage: Eukaryota; Fungi; Ascomycota; Sordariomycetes; Hypocreales; Nectriaceae.
GCAACACGGCAUUGCCCUAGUAACGGCGAGUGAAGCGGCAACAGCUCAAAUUUGAAAUCUGGCCCUCGGGUCCGAGUUGUAAUUUGUAGAGGAUGCUUUUGGUGAGGUGCCUUCCGAGUUCCCUGGAACGGGACGCCAUAGAGGGUGAGAGCCCCGUCUGGUUGGACACCGAUCCUCUGUAAAGCUCCUUCGACGAGUCGAGUAGUUUGGGAAUGCUGCUCUAAAUGGGAGGUAUAUGUCUUCUAAAGCUAAAUACCGGCCAGAGACCGAUAGCGCACAAGUAGAGUGAUCGAAAGAUGAAAAGCACUUUGAAAAGAGGGUUAAACAGUACGUGAAAUUGUUGAAAGGGAAGCGCUUGUGACCAGACUUGGGCCCGGUUAAUCAUCCAGUGUUCUCACUGGUGCACUUGGCCGGCUCAGGCCAGCAUCAGUUCGGCGCGGGGGAUAAAGGCUUCGGGAAUGUGGCUCCUCCGGGAGUGUUAUAGCCCGUUGUGUAAUACCCUGCGCUGGACUGAGGUUCGCGCAUCUGCAAGGAUGCUGGCGUAAUGGUCAUCAGCGACCCUUGUAAAAAACCCGGGGGUGGGGGGAAAAAACCCCACGCCGGCCCCCCGGCAAAUUCGCGAACCUCA